Molecule: long non-coding RNA, 1231 nt
Filed under: Anas platyrhynchos platyrhynchos (common mallard)
Lineage: Eukaryota; Metazoa; Chordata; Aves; Anseriformes; Anatidae
Description: lncRNA (ENSAPLG00000029902.1)
Source: RNAcentral
AGCCAGUUCUGAUUUCUCCUAGCCCCAGCCAAACACUUCCGUAUGAAUUAAUAACCAGGAGCUGGAGCUUAAUUAAUAACCACAGCGAUGCUGGCACAGGGCAGUGGUGUGUCCAUGGGGCCGGAUCAGCCUCUCCCCGCAGCACCCCUGUUCACCUGGGGGUCGCAAGCAAGUGCUUGGCUCCCUGCAGGGCCUCGGGGGGGUCUCAGGGUGCAUCGAGCUGCCAAAUGUGCUGGGGAGGAGCCGCUCCCCCUCCCCGCCUUGCCUUCUGUUCCCUUGCGGCCGCUCUGAAAAUGGGCCGCUUAAUUCAAAGCCUCUGGAGGAAAGGAGAGGGGGAAUCUCUGGUUACGUCUGCACUUGCAAAGCAAACAGUCCCAGGGCAUUCCCAGGCACGGCAGCGUGACUGUCCACAUGGGAAUUCGUAGCACUGCCCUGGCGUGAUUUUGGCUUGGGGCAGCUCCCGCUGAUGCAGGCAAGUUUUUGCUCCUGGUUUGGGCACUAGCUCGGCUUAGGGACAGUCCCGGCAGGGCUCGGCACACCAUUUGCAGGAUGUGUUGAACACCCCGGAGGUGGGCAGCUCCAUGGCAGAGGCCCUCUGGGGCAGAGAACAACCCCGGGCUUAUUUCCUUUAUUGCAUAGAACAGCUUUUGUGCCUAGAGCAUCCUUCCCGGAGCGCCUGGCGAUGGGCACCGCGACAACACAGCUGCUCCAGGACUUUGGGCAGAGGAGCACCCACCACGGUGCCACAACAGCAGCUGCAUUUGCACAACCACUGGGCAGAGGAUGGGGAAAAACCCGUGUACGUGCGUGCGUGCGUGCACGCGCCCGUGCCAGGUCCUUGGCGUGCCAUGUGCACGGCCGGGCACGUGUGCCAGCCGGCAGCCCCGGCGCGGGCGCGUGUGCUCUGCGUGGGCUGGGCGUGUUUUUUGCUCCACACAUGCCUUCAUCUGCCGCCGCGGUUUGGAUCCAGAGAGAGGGAGCCCGUGCGUUUGAUGUCUGCGUGUGCUGGGCUCUGCAGCUGCCCCAAGCUCCUGGGAAAGGAGCAGCCGAAGGAAGAGCCAAGCAGAGAUGGGCCCGAGGGCGCAGCUGGUGCUGUAUCAUCGCCUGGCAGCCUCGGGGCUGGAGCCUGAAGAAUAAAACUGAAGGGAGGGGGAGAAAAGAUCCUCCUCUUUCACGUGGAAGAGCAGCUGCCUCCCAGGUAAGCUGCAAAGCUGCUUCCUUACCUGCAUAA